UUUUAUGGAGAGUUUGAUCCUGGCUCAGGAUGAACGCUGGCGGCGUGCCUAAUACAUGCAAGUCGAGCGAACGGACGAGAAGCUUGCUUCUCUGAUGUUAGCGGCGGACGGGUGAGUAACACGUGGAUAACCUACCUAUAAGACUGGGAUAACUUCGGGAAACCGGAGCUAAUACCGGAUAAUAUUUUGAACCGCAUGGUUCAAAAGUAAAAGACGGUCUUGCUGUCACUUAUAGAUGGAUCCGCGCUGCAUUAGCUAGUUGGUAAGGUAACGGCUUACCAAGGCAACGAUGCAUAGCCGACCUGAGAGGGUGAUCGGCCACACUGGAACUGAGACACGGUCCAGACUCCUACGGGAGGCAGCAGUAGGGAAUCUUCCGCAAUGGGCGAAAGCCUGACGGAGCAACGCCGCGUGAGUGAUGAAGGUCUUCGGAUCGUAAAACUCUGUUAUUAGGGAAGAACAUAUGUG
This 468-nucleotide ribosomal RNA is filed under the name Staphylococcus aureus. RNAcentral describes it as "bacterial SSU rRNA". It matches the Rfam family "Bacterial small subunit ribosomal RNA", at positions 1 to 457 of the family's 1533-position model. The record is from RNAcentral. Lineage: Bacteria; Bacillati; Bacillota; Bacilli; Caryophanales; Staphylococcaceae.